RNAcentral lists this transfer RNA (83 nucleotides) under Saitoella complicata NRRL Y-17804. RNAcentral's name for it is "tRNA-His". Lineage: Eukaryota; Fungi; Ascomycota; Saitoellomycetes; Saitoellales; Saitoellaceae. The record is from RNAcentral.
GCGGUACUAGUGUAGGGGUUAUCAUAAUUCGUUGUGGCUACGCAACGUCCGAAUUGACCCAGGUUCGAUUCCUGGGUACCGCA